This 443-nucleotide ribosomal RNA is filed under the name uncultured bacterium. Its description in RNAcentral is "partial 16S ribosomal RNA". It matches the Rfam family "Bacterial small subunit ribosomal RNA", at positions 338 to 795 of the family's 1533-position model. The record is from RNAcentral.
CCUACGGGAGGCUGCAGUGGGGAAUAUUGGACAAUGGGGGGAACCCUGAUCCAGCGACGCCGCGUGAGUGAAGAAGUAUUUCGGUAUGUAAAGCUCUAUCAGCAGGGAAGAAAGAAAUGACGGUACCUGACUAAGAAGCCCCGGCUAACUACGUGCCAGCAGCCGCGGUAAUACGUAGGGGGCAAGCGUUAUCCGGAUUUACUGGGUGUAAAGGGAGCGUAGACGGCGAUGCAAGUCUGAAGUGAAAGGCGGGGGCACAACCCCCGGACUGCUUUGGAAACUGUAUGGCUGGAGUGCAGGAGAGGUAAGUGGAAUUCCCAGUGUAGCGGUGAAAUGCGUAGAUAUUAGGAGGAACACCAGUGGCGAAGGCGGCUUACUGGACUGUAACUGACGUUGAGGCUCGAAAGCGUGGGGAGCAAACAGGAUUAGAUACCCUUGUAGUC